Molecule: non-coding RNA, 88 nt
Organism: Branchiostoma floridae (Florida lancelet)
Lineage: Eukaryota; Metazoa; Chordata; Leptocardii; Amphioxiformes; Branchiostomatidae
Source: Rfam
UGGCUGUUUGGGAAGAUGAGCUGUUCUGCUACAGCUGCUUGUCGGACUAGCGUAACAGGACGCUCGUCUGCCCAAACAUCUGGCCACU